RNAcentral lists this ribosomal RNA (253 nucleotides) under uncultured bacterium. Its description in RNAcentral is "partial 16S ribosomal RNA". It matches the Rfam family "Bacterial small subunit ribosomal RNA", at positions 524 to 776 of the family's 1533-position model. The record is from RNAcentral.
UACGUAGGGAGCAAGCGUUGUCCGGAAUCAUUGGGCGUAAAGCGCGUGUAGGCGGCUUGAUAAGUCUGCUCUGAAAGCCCGGGGCUCAACCCUGGGAGGCGGGUGGAUACUGUCGAGCUCGAGUCCGGAAGAGGCGAGUGGAAUUCCUGGUGUAGCGGUGAAAUGCGCAGAUAUCAGGAGGAACACCGGUGGCGAAGGCGGGUCUCUGGGCCGAUACUGACGCUGAGGAGCGAAAGCGUGGGGAGUGAACAGG